UUUAUAACAACAGAGGAAUGAAUACAACUCAAGGAGCUCAUGAAGAGCAAAGUCACAGAGUACUGGAAAAAUCAAUGCCGACCCAUACUACCAUGGAAGGAGUAACAGGAAACCCUGGGGUUUCUCAGAACUCCCUGACUGUCCUGGGAGAUAUGUCAGACAACUUAAGGCACCCUUUUAGUGAGAAAUUGAAAUGGAGGAAGGAAUGGGAAUGAGCACUGUAAUACCCUGCCUGAAAAACAGAGGAAGGCCCAG
Long non-coding RNA from Athene cunicularia (burrowing owl), 255 nucleotides. RefSeq lists it as uncharacterized. Lineage: Eukaryota; Metazoa; Chordata; Aves; Strigiformes; Strigidae. The transcript is spliced from 3 exons. The record is from RefSeq and is a predicted model, not a curated record.